GUGUCAGCCGCCGCGGUAAUACGUAGGUGGCAAGCGUUGUCCGGAAUUAUUGGGCGUAAAGCGCGCGCAGGCGGAACUGCCAGUCUGUCUUAAAAGUUCGGGGCUCAACCCCGUGAUGGGAUGGAAACUACAGUUCUAGAGUAUCGGAGAGGAAAGUGGAAUUCCUAGUGUAGCGGUGAAAUGCGUAGAUAUUAGGAAGAACACCAGUGGCGAAGGCGACUUUCUGGACGAACACUGACGCUGAGGCGCGAAAGCCAGGGGAGCGAACGGGAUUAGAUACCCCGGUAGUCCUGGCCGUAAACGAUGGGUACUAGGUGUAGGAGGUAUCGACCCCUUCUGUGCCGCAGUUAACGCAAUAAGUACCCCGCCUGGGGAGUACGACCGCAAGGUUGAAACUCAAAGGAAUUGACGG
Molecule: ribosomal RNA, 412 nt
Filed under: uncultured bacterium
Lineage: Bacteria
Description: bacterial SSU rRNA
Rfam family: Bacterial small subunit ribosomal RNA
Source: RNAcentral